CAAUAGCAUAUAUUAAAGUUGUUGCAGUUAAAAAGCUCGUAGUUGGACCUUGGACCUGGACAGGCGGUCCGCCUCACGGCGUGUACUGUCUUGCUGGGUCUUUCCUCUUGGUGAUCUGUUGUUUCGGCAGCAGGGAACCAGGACUUUUACUUUGAAAAAAUUAGAGUGUUCAAAGCAGGCUCGACGCCGGAAUAUAUUAGCAUGGAAUAAUAAAAUAGGACGUGCGGUUCUAUUUUGUUGGUUUUUGGAAUCGCCGUAAUGAUUAAUAGGGACAGUCGGGGGCAUUAGUACUCACAUGCUAGAGGUGAAAUUCUUGGAUUUUGUGAAGACUAACUUCUGCGAAAGCAUUUGCCAAGGAUGUUUUCAUUAA
This 370-nucleotide ribosomal RNA is filed under the name uncultured eukaryote. RNAcentral describes it as "partial 18S ribosomal RNA". It matches the Rfam family "Eukaryotic small subunit ribosomal RNA", at positions 592 to 976 of the family's 1831-position model. The record is from RNAcentral.